RNAcentral lists this microRNA (24 nucleotides) under Drosophila pseudoobscura. Its description in RNAcentral is "dps-miR-2571-3p". Lineage: Eukaryota; Metazoa; Arthropoda; Insecta; Diptera; Drosophilidae. The record is from miRBase by way of RNAcentral.
UAGGUUAUCUGACUUAUCUCACAU